CAGCCGUAAACUAUGCGCGUUAGGUGUAUCGGUGACCACGAGUUACCGAGGUGCCGAAGGGAAACCGUGAAACGUGCCGCCUGGGAAGUACGGUCGCAAGGCUGAAACUUAAAGGAAUUGGGCGGGGGAGCACCACAACAGGUGGAGCCUGCGGUUUAAUUGGAUUCAACGCCGGACAUCUCACCGGAUAAGACAGCUGAAUGAUUGUCAAUCUGAAGGUUUUACAUGACUAGCUGAGAGGAGGUGCAUGGCGUCAGUGACU
This 262-nucleotide ribosomal RNA is filed under the name uncultured archaeon. RNAcentral describes it as "partial 16S ribosomal RNA". It matches the Rfam family "Archaeal small subunit ribosomal RNA", at positions 748 to 1008 of the family's 1478-position model. The record is from RNAcentral.